This is a non-coding RNA of Paramuricea clavata, 71 nucleotides long. NCBI's taxonomy places the organism in Eukaryota, Metazoa, Cnidaria, Anthozoa, Malacalcyonacea, Plexauridae. The record is from the annotation of a GenBank genome assembly.
GACCGCGUAGCUCAGUUGGAAGAGCAUUGGGUAGUAUCCAAAGGUCGUAGGUUCGAAUCCCACCGUGGCCG